RNAcentral lists this ribosomal RNA (253 nucleotides) under uncultured bacterium. RNAcentral's name for it is "partial 16S ribosomal RNA". It matches the Rfam family "Bacterial small subunit ribosomal RNA", at positions 524 to 776 of the family's 1533-position model. The record is from RNAcentral.
UACGUAGGGGGCGAGCGUUGUCCGGAUUUAUUGGGCGUAAAGAGCGUGUAGGCGGCCAGGUAGGUCCGUUGUGAAAACUCGAGGCUCAACCUCGAGACGUCGAUGGAAACCAUCUGGCUAGAGUCCGGAAGAGGAGAGUGGAAUUCCUGGUGUAGCGGUGAAAUGCGCAGAUAUCAGGAGGAACACCGGUGGCGAAGGCGGGAUCCUGGGCCAGUACUGACGCUGAGGAGCGAAAGCGUGGGGAGCAAACAGG